UACAGAGGUCUCAAGCGUUGUUCGGAUUCACUGGGCUUAAAGGGCGCGUAGGCGGACUGGUAAGUCCGGGGUGAAAUCUGUCGGCUCAACCGGAAAAGUGCCUUGGAAACUGCCAGUCUCGAGGGGGGUAGGGGCCUGUGGAACUUCGGGUGGAGCGGUGAAAUGCGUUGAUAUCCGAAGGAACGCCGGUGGCGAAAGCGACGGGCUGGACCCCUUCUGACGCUGAGGCGCGAAAGCCAGGGGAGCAAACGGG
This 253-nucleotide ribosomal RNA is filed under the name uncultured bacterium. RNAcentral describes it as "partial 16S ribosomal RNA". It matches the Rfam family "Bacterial small subunit ribosomal RNA", at positions 524 to 776 of the family's 1533-position model. The record is from RNAcentral.